Molecule: long non-coding RNA, 617 nt
Organism: Homo sapiens (human)
Lineage: Eukaryota; Metazoa; Chordata; Mammalia; Primates; Hominidae
Product: long intergenic non-protein coding RNA 1877
Source: Ensembl
AGAGAUGAGGAGCCCAAGAGAUGAAACUGGAGAGCUCCUAAAACCCAGGAGGCUCUUAAAACUCCUCUACCAACAUCUCCCCUCCAUGAAAAAAGGAAGGGUCAGCCCAAGAAGCAGGAAGCAGCAGUGCAGGGAGAAAAGAGUACUGGAUUUAGAGUCAGACACCCAGGUUCAAGUUCUAGUUUGCAGUUCAUAGAAGCAGUCUUCCCAGCUUGAUUUUAUUCACAGAAGAAAAAAGGCACCCCUGGGAAGUGCCUGACAAAAGCUUGAAGAGAGAAGAGGCUCUGCUGUGGUUUGAAUGCGUCCCCCAAAGUUCAUGUGUUGGAAACUUGAUCCCCGAUGCAGCAGUACUGGGAGGUGGGACCUUUGAGAGGUGUUUAAGUCAUGAGGACCCUGCCCUCAUGAAUGGAUUAAUGCUGUUAUUGCAGGAGUGGGUUUGUUAUCUCGGGAAUGGAUUUGUUAUAAAAAGAAAAGUUCAGCCCCCUUUUAUCUCUCACCCAUAGGAUGCCCUUUGCCAUGUUAUGAUCCUGCAGGAAGACCCUCACCAGAUAUGGCCCCUUGAUCUUGGACUUCCCAGCCUCCAGAAUUGUGAGAAAUAAAUUUCUGUUUUUAAUAAA